RNAcentral lists this ribosomal RNA (301 nucleotides) under uncultured bacterium. RNAcentral describes it as "partial 16S ribosomal RNA". It matches the Rfam family "Bacterial small subunit ribosomal RNA", at positions 509 to 807 of the family's 1533-position model. The record is from RNAcentral.
CAGUAGCCGCGGUAAUACAGAGGGUGCGAGCGUUAAUCGGAUUUACUGGGCGUAAAGCGUGCGUAGGCGGCUUCUUAAGUCGGAUGUGAAAUCCCUGAGCUUAACUUAGGAAUUGCAUUAGAUACUGGGAAGCUAGAGUAUGGGAGAGGAUGGUAGAAUUCCAGGUGUAGCGGUGAAAUGCGUAGAGAUCUGGAGGAAUACCGAUGGCGAAGGCAGCCAUCUGGCCUAAUACUGACGCUGAGGUACGAAAGCAUGGGGAGCAAACAGGAUUAGAUACCCCUGUAGUCCCUGUCUCUUAUAC